This 83-nucleotide ribosomal RNA is filed under the name Albinaria hippolyti aphrodite. RNAcentral's name for it is "partial 5.8S ribosomal RNA". It matches the Rfam family "5.8S ribosomal RNA", at positions 1 to 83 of the family's 154-position model. From Rfam's summary of the family: 5.8S ribosomal RNA (5.8S rRNA) is a component of the large subunit of the eukaryotic ribosome. It is transcribed by RNA polymerase I as part of the 45S precursor that also contains 18S and 28S rRNA. Functionally, it is thought that 5.8S rRNA may be involved in ribosome translocation. Lineage: Eukaryota; Metazoa; Mollusca; Gastropoda; Stylommatophora; Clausiliidae. The record is from RNAcentral.
UAACUUUGAGCGGUGGAUCACUCGGCUCGUGCGUCGAUGAAGAGCGCAGCCAGCUGCGUGAAUAAUGUGAAUUGCAGAACACA